CUACGGGGCGCUGCAGUGGGGAAUUUUGCUCAAUGGGCGCAAGCCUGAAGCAGCAACGCCGCGUGGAGGAUGACGGUUUUCGGAUUGUAAACUCCUUUUAAUAGGGAAGAUAAUGACGGUACCUAUUGAAUAAGCACCGGCUAACUCCGUGCCAGCAGCCGCGGUAAUAGGGGGGUGCAAGGUUACUCGGAAUCACUGGGCGUAAAGGGAGCGUAGGCGUUUUAUUAAGUCUUUCGUGAAAGCCCACAGCUUAACUGUGGAACUGCGAGGGAAACUGGUAGAAUAGAAUAUGGAAGAGGUCGAUGGAAUUUCUGGUGUAGGGGUAAAAUCCGUAGAGAUCAGAAGGAAUACCAAUUGCGAAGGCGAUCGGCUGGGACAUCAUUGACGCUGAGGCUCGAAAGCGUGGGGAGCAAACAGGAUUAGAUACCCUUGUAGUC
This 437-nucleotide ribosomal RNA is filed under the name uncultured bacterium. RNAcentral's name for it is "partial 16S ribosomal RNA". It matches the Rfam family "Bacterial small subunit ribosomal RNA", at positions 339 to 795 of the family's 1533-position model. The record is from RNAcentral.